AGACCAGGAAAUUAACAAGGCAGGCGGAGAUGAAAAAUAUUCCAUUUGCCAAGGACCAAAUUAACAACUUAUGCCAAGAUUUGGACAUGUGGUGCCACCUCUGCCAAGGAUACUGACUGUCUCUCUUGCAAAACUUCAAAAGGACAAAAUCUUUGGCAAGGUUAUUUCUCAUUUCUCAAGUGCCCAUACUUGGAACAUCCAAGACUCAGCAGAAGACUGCCCAAAUUACACCCUCCACCUUGGAACAGUUGGACACGCAUGCAACAUCCUACAGUACAACAAAUCUCAAGGAGCCAUUAGAACCCCUGUCCUCUCUCACAAACCCUACCAGCAAUACAUCACACAGACUACUUAGCAAUGUCAGCACAUACCUACCCGAUUCCAUCUCACCUUCUUCAAUUACAGAGCAGAGAGGAGAGAAUCUGCCAGUAAGCUCUCUGUCAUAAAGGGUAAUGAAGGAAUAAAAAGAUGAUGCAACACAAUCAAACACCCACCAGUUUCUCUACCUUCACCCAACAUAUCCCUCCUACUUCAAUAGAAAUAUUCAGGUCUGGGUGUCAUAGUUAGAAAUUUCCUUUUUACAUGACUCCAAUUUUAAUUGAAUAACUUUUUUUAGAAACACACUUAUUUUUGGGCAAGGUGAAUGUUUCUGUCAGAAGACAAAAUGUACAAAAUAGAAUGUGGUAGAAAAUCAUAGUACAUCUCAAAAUAUAUUGAUCACUACCCUACCACAAACACAUAAGGACACAUUUCAUUUAACCGGUACACUCAUACCCUAACCAGUUUCUAUACAUAGAUAUUUACUACAGACAUUGGCAGCAUGUGUAUACUAACAAUAAUUAUAAUGUCAGCCCUACUAGCAGAACAAAAGCCACCAUGUGCUCAUCCUGACCCAACACAUUUAGACAAACAAUUGUUUCAGUUAUUAAAUUUGAGUCUGAUAAACAGCCAUUUUCUUUUCAAUACUCAAAAUUACAGAUGGAAAAGACAUUUAUUCCAACUUAUGGAAACAUCAGUUUGUAAGACUUGGAAUAAAACUCCUAAUUCCCCUAAAUCAACUAAUUUAACAG
This is a long non-coding RNA of Anguilla anguilla (European eel), 1070 nucleotides long. RefSeq lists it as uncharacterized. The record is from RefSeq and is a predicted model, not a curated record. The transcript is spliced from 3 exons. NCBI's taxonomy places the organism in Eukaryota, Metazoa, Chordata, Actinopteri, Anguilliformes, Anguillidae.